GGGGAAUUUUCCGCAAUGGGCGAAAGCCUGACGGAGCAACGCCGCGUGAGGGAUGAAGGCCUCUGGGCUGUAAACCUCUUUUCUCAAGGAAGAAGAUCUGACGGUACUUGAGGAAUAAGCCACGGCUAAUUCCGUGCCAGCAGCCGCGGUAAUACGGGAGUGGCAAGCGUUAUCCGGAAUUAUUGGGCGUAAAGCGUCCGCAGGCGGCCUUGAAAGUCUGCUGUUAAAGCGUGGAGCUUAACUCCAUUUCAGCAGUGGAAACUACAAGGCUAGAGUGUGGUAGGGGCAGAGGGAAUUCCCGGUGUAGCGGUGAAAUGCGUAGAUAUCGGGAAGAACACCAGUGGCGAAGGCGCUCUGCUGGGCCAUAACUGACGCUCAUGGACGAAAGCCAGGGGAGCGAAAGGGAUUAGAUACCCCUGUAGUC
Molecule: ribosomal RNA, 424 nt
Filed under: uncultured Prochlorococcus sp.
Lineage: Bacteria; Bacillati; Cyanobacteriota; Cyanophyceae; Synechococcales; Prochlorococcaceae
Description: bacterial SSU rRNA
Rfam family: Bacterial small subunit ribosomal RNA
Source: RNAcentral